This 532-nucleotide ribosomal RNA is filed under the name uncultured Actinomycetes bacterium. RNAcentral's name for it is "bacterial SSU rRNA". It matches the Rfam family "Bacterial small subunit ribosomal RNA", at positions 346 to 886 of the family's 1533-position model. Lineage: Bacteria; Bacillati; Actinomycetota; Actinomycetes. The record is from RNAcentral.
AGGCAGCAGUGGGGAAUAUUGCACAAUGGGCGCAAGCCUGAUGCAGCGACGCCGCGUGAGGGAUGACGGCCUUCGGGUUGUAAACCUCUUUCAGUACCGACGAAGCGCGAGUGACGGUAGGUACAGAAGAAGCACCGGCCAACUACGUGCCAGCAGCCGCGGUAAUACGUAGGGUGCGAGCGUUGUCCGGAAUUACUGGGCGUAAAGAGCUCGUAGGCGGUUUGUCGCGUCGUCUGUGAAAACCCGCAGCUCAACUGCGGGCUUGCAGGCGAUACGGGCAGACUUGAGUACUGCAGGGGAGACUGGAAUUCCUGGUGUAGCGGUGAAAUGCGCAGAUAUCAGGAGGAACACCGGUGGCGAAGGCGGGUCUCUGGGCAGUAACUGACGCUGAGGAGCGAAAGCGUGGGUAGCGAACAGGAUUAGAUACCCUGGUAGUCCACGCCGUAAACGGUGGGCGCUAGGUGUGGGUUUCCUUCCACGGGGAUCCCGUGCCGUAGCUAACGCAUUAAGCGCCCCGCCUGGGGAAGUCAGC